UCGCGCUGUUGGAUGAACCGACGUUCGAUUAGCUAGUUGGUGAGGUAAUGGCUCACCAAGGCGACGAUCUGUAGCUGGUCUGAGAGGAUGAUCAGCCACACUGGGACUGAGACACGGCCCAGACUCCUACGGGAGGCAGCAGUGGGGAAUAUUGGACAAUGGGCGCAAGCCUGAUCCAGCAAUGCCGCGUGUGUGAAGAAGGCCUUCGGGUUGUAAAGCACUUUCAUCWGGGACGAAAUACUACCGGUUAAUAACCCGUYGUGGUUGACGGUACCUGAAGAAUAAGCACCG
Molecule: ribosomal RNA, 291 nt
Filed under: uncultured gamma proteobacterium MB10g-MO6
Lineage: Bacteria; Pseudomonadati; Pseudomonadota; Gammaproteobacteria
Description: partial 16S ribosomal RNA
Rfam family: Bacterial small subunit ribosomal RNA
Source: RNAcentral